Molecule: long non-coding RNA, 2861 nt
Organism: Oncorhynchus tshawytscha (Chinook salmon)
Lineage: Eukaryota; Metazoa; Chordata; Actinopteri; Salmoniformes; Salmonidae
Source: Ensembl
GACAGUUUUGUUAUAAAACACAAGUCACAAAUUAAUAAAUAUGGACAAUGUCAUCAUUUACACAAGUAAUUCAGGAUAUAAAAUAAAUUAGAAAGAAAUACAUUAUUUUAAAAAGUGAGUUUUUUUUCUCUUUGGUGCAAGCAAUAGAUAGCAUUAUACUCUAUGCCUCUAUAUGCAUAGUGCUGCAUUCAUUGAGAUUUGAAACACAUAGAAACCCACAGAGCAGCAUGCCACAGGCUCAUCUAGUCACAUGACUUCCUGGUUCCCAUGGUAACCACGGUCAAGGCUACAGGCUACUGUCUGUACAAUAGGGUCAAGAGCACAAGGUGGCAUUAGUGAAUUGGCACUGUAGUGCUAAUCAGUGUCUUUGGCAAUAGUUAUCCUUCUUGGAAGAUCUGACUUAGUAGCUGUCCGCAGCAAACAAGAUAUGAGGGACUACACAGAUCGAGAUGGAGGGUUGAGAAAACGCUGUUGUAGAGUAGAGCAGUCUCACUAGCAGUAAGAUAGGCCUAGAUAUAUAAAUAUAUGGAUAUGCCUACACACUGAUGGUUCCUUCUUGGUUUAUAAAGCCAUUGGCAGUGUAGCCUACUGUUGAAUCACCAGCAGACUGCAUGGUCAAUGUCUAAACCUGACACAGAGCACAGGACUGGCCUUAGCUUCUCUGACUGAUGCUUCUGGUAGGCAGGCUGCAGUGGUUAUAAUAGACAUGCCAUCUAGGUCAUGGGAUGGUUGAGGGACAGAUAUGUGGUGGACCGAUCGUUCCCCAAUCACCACUACUAGAAGAACAACGCAGUCCAGUGAUGUUGCUGAUUUGUAAUGUAAUAUUGGUAGGGAAAAAGACAGAUGAAUUAGGCUCACUGCCUGAGUACUGCAUGUCUGUCAAGUCUUCUGUCAAGUCUUAUAAUCCACAUUAUAAUCCACAUUAUAAUCCACAUUUCCUGGUGCUGCUGCAGGAUUCAUUUAUUUUCUGUAGCAAACUGGCUCAAAUGAAGCUCCUCCAUCUGUCAAUGUUGUGGACCAUAUUCUGCCAGGGGAGUAAACAGGUGGUUCAACUCGCCUUCACUUUAAUGACUCAUUAGAACGUGAACAACGACAGAUGCUUGGGAGGGAGGAAUGAUUGUCUAUGAAUUGACCAUUUACAUUAUGAUCUGUUUACAUGCUGCCCACAAGUCCUUAGACUGGCAGUCGUAGUGUGGUGGAUGUCGCUGUGCUUAGUUUAGAAGCAGCGUCACACCAGGUCAGGGAGUCAAGGGAGAUCUUACAUUCAUUGUCCAUUCAGGGGUAUAGGAAGAUAUGGUUUGGUAGGAUAUAGUAUGGUAGGCUAUGUUAUGGUAGAGUAUGGUAGGGAACUGUAUGGUAUUGUAUGGUAGGGUAUAGUAUGGUAGGGUAUGUUAUGGUAGGGUAUGUUAUGGUAGGGAAAUGUAUGGUAUGGUUGGGCAUAGUAUGGUAGGAUGUGGUAGGAUAUGGCAUGGUAGGAUAUGGUAUUGUAUGGUAGGAUAUGGUAUUGUAGGGUAUGGGAGGGUAUAGGAAGAUAUAGUUUGGUAGGCUAUGUUAUGGUAUACUAUUGUAUGGUAGGGUACUGUAUAGUAUGGAAGGAUAUGGUAUGGUAGGAUAUAUGGUAUUGUAGGGUAUAGUAUGGUAGGAUAUAUGGUAUGGUAGGGUAUAGGAAGAUAUGGUUUGGUAGGCAAUGCUAUGAUAGGGUAUAGUAUGGUAGGAUAUGGUAUUGUAUUGCAUGGUAGGAUAUGGUAUUGUAGGAUAUGGUAUUGUAUGGUAGGAUAUGGUAUAGUAGCGUAUGGUAGGAUAUGGUAGGGUAUGGUAUGGUAUUGUAGGGUAUGGUAUUGUAGGGUAUAAUAAUGUAGGGUAGGGUAUAAUGAUGUAUGGUAGGAUAUGGUAGUAGGGUAGGAUAAGGUAUGGUAGUAUAUGGUAUUGUAGGGUAUAGUAUGGUAGGAUAUGGUAUAGUAGGGUAGGAUGUGGUAUGGUAGGAUAUUGUAAUGUAGGGUAUGGUAUGAUAUAGUAUUGUAGGGUAUAAAAUUGUAUGGUAGGAUAUGGUAUUCUAUGGUAGGGUGGUGUGUUAUGGUAGGAUAGUGUAAGAUAUGGUAUGUUAUGAUAUAGCAAUCCAACUGCAAUGGAUACCUAGGCUGCUAUGCUAAAUUAUUAACAGGGUAGAGCUGGAAAGAUAAACUGAAAAAAUGUAGACACCGACCAUACCGGUAACAUUGCAGACAUUUUACUGAUAUCCUUCAUUACGAUAAGUAGCCCAUUCUAGACAAAUGUGAUGUUGAAAUUAAAUAACUUUGUUAAUAUGGGUGAAUGUUCUUGGGACAAUUGAUGGCCACAACCAUCAAACUAGCAGUAGUAGUUUAAAGGAGAAUAGGAAACUGUGGUGUACAUUAAUGUUAGAAACUGUGGUGCACAUGAAUGUUAGAAACUGUGGUGCACAUUAAUGCUAGAAACUGUGGUGCACAUGAAUGUUAGAAACUGUGGUGCACAUUAAUGCUAGAAACUGUGGUGCACAGUAAUGCUAGAAACUGUGGUGCACAUUAAUGCUAGAAACUGUGGUGCACAUUAAUGCUAGAAACUGUGGUGCACAUUAAUGCUAGAAACUGUGGUGCACAUUCAUGUUAGAAACUGUGGUGCACAUUAAUGCUAGAAACUGUGGUGCACAUUAAUGCUAGAAACUGUGGUGCACAUUGUUAGAAACUGUGGUGCACAUUGUUAGAAACUGUGGUGCACAUUGUUAGAAACUGUGGUGCACAUUAAUGCUAGAAACUGUGGUGCACAUUAAUGCUAGAAACUGUGGUGCACAUUAAUGCUAGAAACUGUGGUGCACAUUAAUGAUAGAAACUGUGGUGCACAUUCAU